AGAGUUUGAUCCUGGCUCAGAUUGAACGCUGGCGGUAUGCUUAACACAUGCAAGUCGAACGGUAACGACAGAACAAACCUUCGGGGGCGUUUUGGUCGACGAGUGGCGAACGGGUGAGUAACGCAUGAGAAUUUGCCGUAUAGUGGGGAAUAACCUGGGGAAACCUAGGCUAAUACCGCAUAUCUUCUACGGAAGAAAGGGGGCCUCUCCUAGAUGCUCUCGCUAUACGAGAAGCUCAUGUCCGAUUAGCUUGUUGGUGAGGUAAUGGCUCACCAAGGCUUUGACCGGUAGCUGGUCUGAGAGGACGAUCAGCCACACUGGGACUGAGAUACGGCCCAGACUCCUACGGGAGGCAGCAGUGGGGAAUAUUGGACAAUGGGGGAAACCCUGAUCCAGCAAUACCGCGUGUGUGAAGAAGGCCUGCGGGUUGUAAAGCACUUUCGUCAGAGAAGAAAUGCGCUUGCCUAAUAAGCAAACGCUAUGACGUUAUCUGAAUAAGAAGCACCGGCUAAUUCCGUGCCAGCAGCCGCGGUAAUAUGGAAGGUGCGAGCGUUAAUCGGAAUUACUGGGCGUAAAGCGCACGUAGGCGGUUUGAUAUGUCGGAUGUGAAAUCCUUGGGCUCAACCUGAGAACUGCAUUCGAAACUGUCAGACUAGAGUGAGUCAGAGAAAGCGGAAUUUCGGGUGUAGCGGUGGAAUGC
RNAcentral lists this ribosomal RNA (700 nucleotides) under uncultured Pseudomonadota bacterium. RNAcentral describes it as "bacterial SSU rRNA". It matches the Rfam family "Bacterial small subunit ribosomal RNA", at positions 8 to 689 of the family's 1533-position model. Lineage: Bacteria; Pseudomonadati; Pseudomonadota. The record is from RNAcentral.